Molecule: regulatory RNA element, 99 nt
Organism: Pseudomonas sp.
Lineage: Bacteria; Pseudomonadati; Pseudomonadota; Gammaproteobacteria; Pseudomonadales; Pseudomonadaceae
Rfam family: Pseudomon-Rho RNA
Source: Rfam
UUCGGCUUCGCGACGACUCUUUCGUCGCCCUCUGCAUUCGUCGCCGACGCACUUCUGCCCCUUAUCGCACAACGACCAGUUCGUAUUCUGCUGCGCGGC